GAGUUUGAUCUUGGCUCAGAACGAACGCUGGCGGCAUGCCUAACACAUGCAAGUCGAACGGGAUCCUGGUUUCGGCCAGGUGAGAGUGGCGGACGGGUGAGUAACGCGUGGGAACCUGCCCAGUGGUGGGGGAUAACUGCGGGAAACUGCAGCUAAUACCGCAUGAGCCCGAAAGGGGAAGAUUCAUCGCCAUUGGAGGGGCCCGCGUUCGAUUAGGUAGUUGGUGGGGUAAUGGCCUACCAAGCCUGCGAUCGAUAGCUGGUCCGAGAGGAUGAUCAGCCACACUGGGACUGAGAUACGGCCCAGACUCCUACGGGAGGCAGCAGUGGGGAAUAUUGGACAAUGGGGGCAACCCUGAUCCAGCAAUGCCGCGUGAGUGAUGAAGGCCUUC
This 391-nucleotide ribosomal RNA is filed under the name uncultured Alphaproteobacteria bacterium. RNAcentral describes it as "bacterial SSU rRNA". It matches the Rfam family "Bacterial small subunit ribosomal RNA", at positions 9 to 419 of the family's 1533-position model. The record is from RNAcentral. Lineage: Bacteria; Pseudomonadati; Pseudomonadota; Alphaproteobacteria.